Drosophila ananassae is the source of this 441-nucleotide long non-coding RNA. RefSeq lists it as uncharacterized. The transcript is spliced from 2 exons. NCBI's taxonomy places the organism in Eukaryota, Metazoa, Arthropoda, Insecta, Diptera, Drosophilidae. The record is from RefSeq and is a predicted model, not a curated record.
GUCAAAAAUGCAACCUUGCAAUUUUUACAGAUGUUUAAAGUCAGGUGAUUGAGCAGCUGAUUUUUGUGACAAAAUUGGCGGGAAAUAUUUAAUAACUUUGAGAGCUUGGCAAAUCUAAACCAAACAAUAUUUUUCUAUUAUUUAAAAUGGAUAUUGAAGUUGGAGAUGUGCUUGAAUUCUGUCACGCCACGUUGCUGGACGUGUGGAUGGACAGCGGGCGCCACUCUUCCGCGCUGACUGAAUUUGUAUUUGGUCAAAUAGAUCAAUGUACACUAAGCGACGACAAAAGGAGUGAAAUAAAUAAAAAAAAUAAGAAGUUUUGAAAUUUUUGUUACGUCAAACCUGCAAAAGUGCAGUCGGAAUAUGCGAACAUUCAGAGAAAAGCAUUCACAGUGGCUAUUAAAGUCUCUUAAAAUACAUUUGGAAAAUCACUCGGAGAUG